CCUACGGGAGGCAGCAGUAGGGAAUAUUGGGCAAUGGGCGAGAGCCUGACCCAGCCAUGCCGCGUGCAGGAAGAAGGCUUUCUGGUCGUAAACUGCUUUUGAGGAAAACGCGGUACCUGCAGAAUAAGCACCGGCUAACUCCGUGCCAGCAGCCGCGGUAAUACGGAGGGUGCGAGCGUUGUCCGGAUUUAUUGGGUUUAAAGGGUGCGUAGGCGGCUUUUUAAGUCUGGGGUGAAAGCCCGCUGCUCAACAGCGGAACUGCCCUGGAUACUGGAGAGCUUGAGUACAGACGAGGUUGGCGGAAUGGACGGAGUAGCGGUGAAAUGCAUAGAUACCGUCCAGAACCCCGAUUGCGAAGGCAGCUGACUAGGCUGUACUGACGCUGAGGCACGAAAGCGUGGGGAGCGAACAGGAUUAGAUACCCUUGUAGUC
This 432-nucleotide ribosomal RNA is filed under the name uncultured bacterium. Its description in RNAcentral is "partial 16S ribosomal RNA". It matches the Rfam family "Bacterial small subunit ribosomal RNA", at positions 338 to 795 of the family's 1533-position model. The record is from RNAcentral.